GCCCCCGUGGGGUAGCAUGGACAUCCUAUAAGGUUGCGGACCUUAGGACCCGCGUUCAAAUCGCGGCGGGGGCA
This 74-nucleotide transfer RNA is filed under the name Candidatus Altarchaeales archaeon. RNAcentral describes it as "tRNA-Arg". The record is from RNAcentral. Lineage: Archaea; Nanobdellati; Candidatus Altarchaeota; Candidatus Altarchaeia; Candidatus Altarchaeales.